UCUUGAAUAAUCUUUUGUUUUUUUUUUCUUUUGCAAUAUAUUUUCUGACCAUUUUUGUACGACAAUUCAAUUCGACUUUUUUGAGAUGCAUGUGUAAUCUUAAAGGUGAUUAACUUUUCCGCGAUUAUUUACUUUCUAAGAAUUUACUUUUCGAGAGUAUACUGUAUUCAUAAUGAAAUAUAUGGUUUUGCUUUUAGCCAUAACAUUUUUCAAAAGUAGUAAUUUGAAGCUAACGCAGUAGCCAAGAAUUGAGUUAUCAUAACAUAUCACAAAAUUAAUCGCUCACAAAUUACUUCUAAUGCAUGAAAAAAUAAUAAAAUUGAACACAAAAGAAACGAGAUUUACCAUACGAGAUUUACUCCACUGCAGCGGGAGCAGGUUGCAGUGGUUGUACUGUUACUGCAAACCAACUCUACGUCGCACCGGUGUCGCAGUCCACGAAGACUCGGACCAGGAAAGCGCCGUAAGUAUAAAUACGGAUAAGGAGGAUGAACUUCUUCGCUCUCCGGAGCUAUCGACCGAGGGUUCCAACUCUGGCAACAAGAGAGGGCCCCGGAAGAAGCCAAGCAAGGAGGGGUUGAAGGCAAAGGCGCGAUAUAAAGCGGCGGUCGGGAUUUGCAACCGACUCGAAGGCAAGCCUAACCUGAAGGAGGAGGAAGAGAAAAGGUUGGCUUGGGCCAGAGAAGAGGUAAAGAACGGCUGAGCUCACUUCGCCACUCGUAAUUGGUGCAAUGCUUCAGAUCCAGCGUUUGCGAAUCGCAUUGAGGAGCAUAAUGCGGAGAAGAGGCAGCGCUCUACGGAGGGUGAAACGAAGGCACCAACAAAAAGGAGGAGAUGCAAAGACGUAGCUGAGAAGCUAGACGUCAGGCAUACGGACGAGAAGCCGACAACGUCCAAAGCAGCGGCGGCGGUCAAUGAGAUUGCGAGGCGACACUUGAUCGUUGCGCUCAUCGAUCGCAGCAACCCGCUGGGACAGAUGUCACAAGAGCGGUGGAAAACAGUGGAGAUGAAGCUGUUGGAAGCCCUCUUCGCACGGAUGGACUCCGAUCCAAGCGCACCCAUGCCAACUUUCGAUGGAGCGGGGUGGCUUGGGGGGGUCAAGCUCCUGAAAUGUAAAGACGACCCGUCGUUGACCUGGGUGAAGGAGGCUGUAAAAACGCUUCCGAACCUAUGGGAAAACGCCAAAUUGGAGGUGGUAGACCGUAGCAGCAUUCCUUUGAUGCCCAAAGCGAAGGUUAUUAUACCUAGGGUGGUAGACCUGAAUCAUGCUCUGCGGUUACUACAAAGACAAAACCCGGGCGUGCCGACUAGCGACUGGAGGGUACUAAGCGUGGCGUAAUCUUCAAACGAAGACGGAGGCCAAAGCUACAUCCUCCAGAUUAAUAAAGCGGCGGACGACAUAAUCUAUGCGAGGUUCGGGAAGAUGGCAUGGGGCGUUGGUAGCGUGUACCUUCGCCUCAAAAAGCGCCACCCCGCGGACGGCAACGAGAACACGCUAGAAAAAGGUGAAGUGGAGAAGGAUCUCGGCAUCAAAGAGAUCAUGGCGACUUCACUGGUCUUACAGGAGGUGGAGAGGGCACCUACCCAGCAAUCUGAUGGCGCAAAAUCAGGAGCUGAGGGUACUUCAGGUGAACCUCCACAAGAGUAGGAUCGCCUCAGCCGAGCUCCUUCUCAAUUUAGAGAAGGGCGGCUACGACGUGGCUCUAGUCCAGGAACCAUGGAUAGCUUCGGGAAACGUGGUCUCUGGGCUAAAGUCCAAAAACUUUAUAACAUACAUCCCGAGCGUAACCAACAGGGUAAGAACGGCAAUACUGGUGAGCAAAAAACUGUAUUCUCAUGUUGAUCUCAAUCUUUCCACAGAUGACUUAACGGUGGUGGGUGUAAAGGGUGUCAAGGAUGAGCUCAUACUCCUUGCAUCCUGCUACAUGCCACACGAUAGCGAGGCGCCAACGGCGGAGCUCCAUAGACUGGCGGUUACAUCCAGUGACAGGAGGCAGGCGCUGGUGAUGGGCGCCGAUGCCAACGCCCAUCAUACGAUCUGGGGAAGCCCAGACAUAAACCAGAGAGUACGAGUCUUCACAACUAACGGAAACGAAAAUCAAAAUAUUCCCAAAAGCAACCUCAAGUCGUACCAUCAAGCAACUACAAGCUAAAGCUAAGGAACAAAUAGGCAAAAACAAACUAAAAAUGAUCAAUCACAAACAAAGAAAUCAACAACUCCAACUCAGAUGAUAGUGAUGACUUUGAUAGUCUCACUAUGUAAGAGAAAACAAUAUUGAGUGGACCCUUAAUAUUAAAUGCCGGUUAGUAACAUAGUAACGAAAAUGGCACCAGAACAAACUAGAAUUGACAAUCAAAUGGGCAGAUUUUGUCAAUACAAUCGGAAGCGAAUGGGGUGUCUUCACAGUUCGAAGAGCAGGAGGAAGAGUCAAUGGAUGAGAUCUCGAAUAAAGCAGACAUGUUAGCACAGCUGGAAGUGCAUAAGGAGAACAUGUCCACAUAUUUGGAAGCGAAUGAGACUUGUAUGUCAAGACCUUUGGUAGCGCAUGGAUAUAUUUUGUUAGAACUAUUGGAAGUGAAUGGGGUGUCCUCAAAGUUGAAAGAGGAAGAGUCGAUAGAGGGAAAUCAGGAAACAGGAGUGGUUUGAUGGCUAGGGCGGAGAAAUACCCAAUUCUAAGCCAAGAGACUGACGAGAUGGUGGACGUGGACAUCAAAAGUUGGGAGAUGUCCCAGAAGCUAUGUGUCCGGAAAAUAUUUGAAGCUGCAUCACUUCCACGAUCCGAUAUCAUGGUGGAAAGAUUCAUCCGAAUUUUGGAAGAGCAUUUUAGAAAGCUGGUGGACAGGUAUCACCACAGGCAUAGAGGAUGUCCAUAUAUCCAUGUUCCUGGCUUAUCGGCCUGCUGUACAGGAAUCAACGGCGUAGACGACAGCGAGUAUAAUUUUUGGUUACCGAAUGAUUUAAGGUUUAUGAUUAAUGAAAAUGGAGAAAGGAAGGUUAAGGAGGACGACAGUGUCCUAGAAGACGAAAUUAAGGGAAGAAAUGCUAAGCGUUUAGUUCUGGAAGUAUGUCUAAUCGGUACGAUCAGACUUAAGUGGAGGGCAGUGUAACGAAAAUGGCACCAGAACAAACUAGAAUUGACAAUCGAAAUCGAUAACUUGCCAGAAGAAUCUAGGCAUCGAUAUUCGUAGAUGCCAGAAUGUUCGAGUGCCGAUGUAUCGCUUACAAUCGACUAUAUAAGGGCUGCCGGACUGGCAGCAAGACACAGUUCUGAUAAGAGAGUUGUCGAGUGAGGACAAUUCUAAGGAGAGAGUUGUCGAGCAAAGUGUAAACAAGUUUAAGUUAGAGUUGUAAAGUAGAGUACUGAGUAAUGAAGUGUUAACUUAUAAGUAUUUAUAAAUAAAGAUUAGUGUAUAGCCAUUAAAGUGUGACUUUUAUUUGACAAUCCAGUGAUCGAACUCAGGGUAGAGUUUUAGAGUAAAUGACAGAUUUUGGAAAUCCGUUACGAUAUAAUAAUAUGGGAAUUGAAAUACAUAUCUUUAUUUAAAAUUAUUUACAGAACGGUUUCAAUGGCAAGAAUGCGGGAUAAGUGCUACAACCAUCACCUUUUCUCAAUCGGAAUUGGUAAUUGACCUUAAAGAAGAUGCGGAAAUCUUGCUCUUGCUUGCUCAUUGAAUUGAAACGGUUUCAAUGGCAAGAAUGCGGGAUAAGUGCUACAACCAUCACCUUUUCUCAAUCGGAAUUUUUAAUUGACCUUAAAGAAGAUGCGAAGAUCCGAUAUUUCUGAACCUUUUUUUGGCCAUAGCAAUAAUUCAACGCAAAUCCUGAUAAAAGAGCGCCUCAAAAUUAUGCAAUAAUCAGCAAUCGUUGCCAUCAAUAGAUAUUGCAGUAAUUGAUACGAUUGUUCUAAAUUUAAAAACUAAACUAAAUAUAAAUUUGUAAUGAUGUAAAAUGUAAUGAAAUACAAUAAAAAAAAUUAAUUGUUUUUAACUGUUAGCGGAAAUAGGUAACAGAUAUAGGUAACAAGCUGCUAAACAAAACAAAAUCCCUUACGGUAACAAAUACAAAUAGGUGCUAACAUAUGUUUUAAACUGUUAGUUGUCAAAACUUGACCAAUAAGGGCAAAUGUACGUGUUAUCGUAAAACGGGACCACUUAUGCAAAAUGUAAUUGAAUAGAGUGAGAAGAGCAUUGAACGAGUAGGGGCAUAUUGUUACUUCUUUCCCACGCUUCGAACAAAAGUUACAAACAUAGCUAUAACAUGUUAGCUGAAAAUUACCCGUCUAUUUGCAUAAAUUGUCAAAAAAAUGUGUCGGUAGAACGUCAUGCUGAUGCUAGUGUUACCGAAAAUUCACGCAGAAAAAUUGGCAACCCUACUGUUGUGAUUGACAUCUCGAACGCACAAAUUUUCAUCGAUAAAAGAAAAUGGUAUAAUAAUACUUGCCAUAGGAGAAAUAAAAAACAUGGUGUUGAUGCUCAUUAAAUUCUCUGCCGAGAAUAAUAAAUCAUCCAAAAUUUUAAGACCAGACAAAACGAUUUGAGUAUAUAAAUAAAUAUAUUUAAGUGAACCGAUCUCUCAAAUUCUUCGACUUAUUGGACAACACUUAAAUACAAUCACGUAAAUACAAUAAAAACAAGUAAGGAAUGGCUAAGUUCGGGUGAAACCGAACAUUUUAUACUCUCGCAAUUUAUUGCUAUAUUUUUAUUAAGAAAACACACAAUUUGUCCCAUAUAUUCGGCAUAAAUAUAUUUCACAUAAUAACCGAUUUAUAAGCUAUAUUAGCUAUAUAUAGUAUUUUUGAAAAUCCUAUAAUUAGGUAUUCUCAUAUAUUCAUAUAAGGGAAGUUAUGACCGGAUUUUAACCUUUUCUGGUACACAGACACACUAUUAGAAGAAAAGUAUUUCCUCUGAAUUAAAUUAAGACACCUAAGAGAUUUACCGAAAUUUUCGGUGAAAAGUUACCAUGGGGCACUGAGUUCUUCAUAUUCGAUAUCUGAUUUCGACAAAUUUUUCACAAGUGAUGCCUAAGAUCAUAUACAGUAUUUGUGUAAAGUUUUAUUUUGCUAUCUUCAUUAGUUCCUUAUGUAUAUAUCAUAAAGUGAAGGAAUAAGAUGGAAUUCAAAAAUGAGUUAUAUGGAAAGUUGAAGUGGUUGUGAACCGAUUGCGCCCUUUUUCCACACGUGUCAUCAGGGUGUCAAGAAAAUAUUAUAUACUGAAUUUCAUUGAAAUCUGUUGAAUACUUCCUGAGAUAUUGUUUUUGACCCAUAAGUGGGCGAUG
Zeugodacus cucurbitae (melon fly) is the source of this 5275-nucleotide RNA transcript. RefSeq lists it as uncharacterized. The transcript is spliced from 4 exons. Lineage: Eukaryota; Metazoa; Arthropoda; Insecta; Diptera; Tephritidae. The record is from RefSeq and is a predicted model, not a curated record.